UACGGAGGGUGCAAGCGUUAUCCGGAUUUACUGGGUUUAAAGGGUGCGCAGGCGGUUAUGUAAGUCAGUGGUGAAAUCUCUAGGCUUAACCUGGAAAUUGCCGUUGAUACUAUAUAUCUUGAAUGCUGUGGAGGUAAGCGGAAUAUGUCAUGUAGCGGUGAAAUGCUUAGAUAUGACAUAGAACACCGAUUGCGAAGGCAGCUUGCUACACGGUCAUUGACACUGAGGCACGAAAGCGUGGGGAGCAAACAGG
Molecule: ribosomal RNA, 253 nt
Filed under: uncultured bacterium
Lineage: Bacteria
Description: partial 16S ribosomal RNA
Rfam family: Bacterial small subunit ribosomal RNA
Source: RNAcentral